UACGGGGGGGGCAAGCGUUGUUCGGAUUUAUUGGGCGUAAAGAGCUCGUAGGCGGCUUGGUAAGUCGAGUGUGAAAACUCUGGGCUCAACUCAGAGACGCCACUCGAUACUGCCAUGGCUUGAGUCCGGUAGGGGAGUGUGGAAUUCCCGGUGUAGCGGCGAAAUGCGUAGAUAUUGGGAGGAACACCAGUGGCGAAGGCGGCUCACUGGACCGGUUCUGACGCUGAGGCGCGAAAGCGUGGGGAGCAAACGGG
This 254-nucleotide ribosomal RNA is filed under the name uncultured bacterium. RNAcentral's name for it is "partial 16S ribosomal RNA". It matches the Rfam family "Bacterial small subunit ribosomal RNA", at positions 524 to 776 of the family's 1533-position model. The record is from RNAcentral.